Long non-coding RNA from Micropterus dolomieu (smallmouth bass), 675 nucleotides. RefSeq lists it as uncharacterized. The record is from RefSeq and is a predicted model, not a curated record. The transcript is spliced from 3 exons. Lineage: Eukaryota; Metazoa; Chordata; Actinopteri; Centrarchiformes; Centrarchidae.
UUGUACUGCUAACUGCUCUAUGCCAAAUUCAAGGUUCUUAGAAGAACCUUGUUCUUAAGGGGGGGAUGUUACGACCCCUUCCUUCUCCUGCAGGAGGCUGCAGGCAGGGAGGCUGAUUGGGCUGCACCUGUGCAGCUCUCUUCAGAGCUUAUUUAGCCAGGACUGAUCAGUGUUUUGUCUUUUGUUCGACUUACAGGCACAACAACAACCAACGAUACUGCAACAAAACUACAAGCUCGUGCAGAUUGUUCUGCUCUGGACUACAUAAUGUUGGUUAUGCGUGUGGCUGAACUCCUCCUAAUUACUGUGAUUACUGUUCUUCUCAUCAGAGCUCGAGAGACUACCUGACAACAACACAGUGACCUACAGCAGCGUGAAAGCUUCCUCUUCUUCUGCUGGAGCCUCAGCUGAUCCCAGCGACCUCUACGCCACCGUCAACAAACCAAACAAAUAAGAGACCACAGUGUAGUUACAGCUCAUAUCAUUACAGGUAAUUUACACUGAGAACUGAUAAAUGUUUUAUUAUUUGAAUUAUUUUAUGAUAAUAUAUGGGACAUUUAGCUUGAUGAACUUGCUGUCAGGCACUUUAAUGUGCUAGUGCUGUGUUGUAGUUAAACAUGUAUUAGUUUUUACUGUUAUUUCUGUAUCUGCUGUUAUUGUUUGAUAUGCAGUCAU